GAUGAACGCUGGCGGCGUGCCUAAUACAUGCCAGUCGAGCGAACAGAUGAGGAGCUUGCUCCUCUGACGUUAGCGGCGGACGGGUGAGUAACACGUGGAUAACCUACCUAUAAGACUGGGAUAACUUCGGGAAACCGGAGCUAAUACCGGAUAAUAUAUUGAACCGCAUGGUUCAAUAGUGAAAGACGGUUUUGCUGUCACUUAUAGAUGGAUCCGCGCCGCAUUAGCUAGUUGGUAAGGUAACGGCUUACCAAGGCAACGAUGCGUAGCCGACCUGAGAGGGUGAUCGGCCACACUGGAACUGAGACACGGUCCAGACUCCUACGGGAGGCAGCAGUAGGGAAUCUUCCGCAAUGGGCGAAAGCCUGACGGAGCAACGCCGCGUGAGUGAUGAAGGUCUUCGGAUCGUAAAACUCUGUUAUUAGGGAGGAACAAAUGUGUAAGUAACAAUGCACGUCUUGACGGUACCUAAUCAGAAAGCCACGGCUAACUACGUG
Molecule: ribosomal RNA, 497 nt
Filed under: uncultured bacterium
Lineage: Bacteria
Description: partial 16S ribosomal RNA
Rfam family: Bacterial small subunit ribosomal RNA
Source: RNAcentral